RNAcentral lists this ribosomal RNA (2931 nucleotides) under Escherichia coli O128:H2 str. 2011C-3317. Its description in RNAcentral is "bacterial LSU rRNA". It matches the Rfam family "Bacterial large subunit ribosomal RNA". The record is from RNAcentral. Lineage: Bacteria; Pseudomonadati; Pseudomonadota; Gammaproteobacteria; Enterobacterales; Enterobacteriaceae.
GGGUUGUGAGGUUAAGCGACUAAGCGUACACGGUGGAUGCCCUGGCAGUCAGAGGCGAUGAAGGACGUGCUAAUCUGCGAUAAGCGUCGGUAAGGUGAUAUGAACCGUUAUAACCGGCGAUUUCCGAAUGGGGAAACCCAGUGUGUUUCGACACACUAUCAUUAACUGAAUCCAUAGGUUAAUGAGGCGAACCGGGGGAACUGAAACAUCUAAGUACCCCGAGGAAAAGAAAUCAACCGAGAUUCCCCCAGUAGCGGCGAGCGAACGGGGAGCAGCCCAGAGCCUGAAUCAGUGUGUGUGUUAGUGGAAGCGUCUGGAAAGGCGCGCGAUACAGGGUGACAGCCCCGUACACAAAAAUACACAUACUGUGAGCUCGAUGAGUAGGGCGGGACACGUGGUAUCCUGUCUGAAUAUGGGGGGACCAUCCUCCAAGGCUAAAUACUCCUGACUGACCGAUAGUGAACCAGUACCGUGAGGGAAAGGCGAAAAGAACCCCGGCGAGGGGAGUGAAAAAGAACCUGAAACCGUGUACGUACAAGCAGUGGGAGCACGCUUAGGCGUGUGACUGCGUACCUUUUGUAUAAUGGGUCAGCGACUUAUAUUCUGUAGCAAGGUUAACCGAAUAGGGGAGCCGAAGGGAAACCGAGUCUUAACUGGGCGUUAAGUUGCAGGGUAUAGACCCGAAACCCGGUGAUCUAGCCAUGGGCAGGUUGAAGGUUGGGUAACACUAACUGGAGGACCGAACCGACUAAUGUUGAAAAAUUAGCGGAUGACUUGUGGCUGGGGGUGAAAGGCCAAUCAAACCGGGAGAUAGCUGGUUCUCCCCGAAAGCUAUUUAGGUAGCGCCUCGUGAAUUCAUCUCCGGGGGUAGAGCACUGUUUCGGCAAGGGGGUCAUCCCGACUUACCAACCCGAUGCAAACUGCGAAUACCGGAGAAUGUUAUCACGGGAGACACACGGCGGGUGCUAACGUCCGUCGUGAAGAGGGAAACAACCCAGACCGCCAGCUAAGGUCCCAAAGUCAUGGUUAAGUGGGAAACGAUGUGGGAAGGCCCAGACAGCCAGGAUGUUGGCUUAGAAGCAGCCAUCAUUUAAAGAAAGCGUAAUAGCUCACUGGUCGAGUCGGCCUGCGCGGAAGAUGUAACGGGGCUAAACCAUGCACCGAAGCUGCGGCAGCGACGCUUAUGCGUUGUUGGGUAGGGGAGCGUUCUGUAAGCCUGCGAAGGUGUGCUGUGAGGCAUGCUGGAGGUAUCAGAAGUGCGAAUGCUGACAUAAGUAACGAUAAAGCGGGUGAAAAGCCCGCUCGCCGGAAGACCAAGGGUUCCUGUCCAACGUUAAUCGGGGCAGGGUGAGUCGACCCCUAAGGCGAGGCCGAAAGGCGUAGUCGAUGGGAAACAGGUUAAUAUUCCUGUACUUGGUGUUACUGCGAAGGGGGGACGGAGAAGGCUAUGUUGGCCGGGCGACGGUUGUCCCGGUUUAAGCGUGUAGGCUGGUUUUCCAGGCAAAUCCGGAAAAUCAAGGCUGAGGCGUGAUGACGAGGCACUACGGUGCUGAAGCAACAAAUGCCCUGCUUCCAGGAAAAGCCUCUAAGCAUCAGGUAACAUCAAAUCGUACCCCAAACCGACACAGGUGGUCAGGUAGAGAAUACCAAGGCGCUUGAGAGAACUCGGGUGAAGGAACUAGGCAAAAUGGUGCCGUAACUUCGGGAGAAGGCACGCUGAUAUGUAGGUGAAGUCCCUCGCGGAUGGAGCUGAAAUCAGUCGAAGAUACCAGCUGGCUGCAACUGUUUAUUAAAAACACAGCACUGUGCAAACACGAAAGUGGACGUAUACGGUGUGACGCCUGCCCGGUGCCGGAAGGUUAAUUGAUGGGGUCAGCGCAAGCGAAGCUCUUGAUCGAAGCCCCGGUAAACGGCGGCCGUAACUAUAACGGUCCUAAGGUAGCGAAAUUCCUUGUCGGGUAAGUUCCGACCUGCACGAAUGGCGUAAUGAUGGCCAGGCUGUCUCCACCCGAGACUCAGUGAAAUUGAACUCGCUGUGAAGAUGCAGUGUACCCGCGGCAAGACGGAAAGACCCCGUGAACCUUUACUAUAGCUUGACACUGAACAUUGAGCCUUGAUGUGUAGGAUAGGUGGGAGGCUUUGAAGUGUGGACGCCAGUCUGCAUGGAGCCGACCUUGAAAUACCACCCUUUAAUGUUUGAUGUUCUAACGUUGACCCGUAAUCCGGGUUGCGGACAGUGUCUGGUGGGUAGUUUGACUGGGGCGGUCUCCUCCUAAAGAGUAACGGAGGAGCACGAAGGUUGGCUAAUCCUGGUCGGACAUCAGGAGGUUAGUGCAAUGGCAUAAGCCAGCUUGACUGCGAGCGUGACGGCGCGAGCAGGUGCGAAAGCAGGUCAUAGUGAUCCGGUGGUUCUGAAUGGAAGGGCCAUCGCUCAACGGAUAAAAGGUACUCCGGGGAUAACAGGCUGAUACCGCCCAAGAGUUCAUAUCGACGGCGGUGUUUGGCACCUCGAUGUCGGCUCAUCACAUCCUGGGGCUGAAGUAGGUCCCAAGGGUAUGGCUGUUCGCCAUUUAAAGUGGUACGCGAGCUGGGUUUAGAACGUCGUGAGACAGUUCGGUCCCUAUCUGCCGUGGGCGCUGGAGAACUGAGGGGGGCUGCUCCUAGUACGAGAGGACCGGAGUGGACGCAUCACUGGUGUUCGGGUUGUCAUGCCAAUGGCACUGCCCGGUAGCUAAAUGCGGAAGAGAUAAGUGCUGAAAGCAUCUAAGCACGAAACUUGCCCCGAGAUGAGUUCUCCCUGACUCCUUGAGAGUCCUGAAGGAACGUUGAAGACGACGACGUUGAUAGGCCGGGUGUGUAAGCGCAGCGAUGCGUUGAGCUAACCGGUACUAAUGAACCGUGAGGCUUAACCUUACAACGCCGAAGGUGUUU